RNAcentral lists this ribosomal RNA (448 nucleotides) under Arthrobacter sp. Its description in RNAcentral is "bacterial SSU rRNA". It matches the Rfam family "Bacterial small subunit ribosomal RNA", at positions 20 to 472 of the family's 1533-position model. Lineage: Bacteria; Bacillati; Actinomycetota; Actinomycetes; Micrococcales; Micrococcaceae. The record is from RNAcentral.
UGGCUCAGGAUGAACGCGGCGGCGUGCUUAACACAUGCAAGUCGAACGAUGAACCUCACUUGUGGGGGGAUUAGUGGCGAACGGGUGAGUAACACGUGAGUAACCUGCCCUUGACUCUGGGAUAAGCCUGGGAAACCGGGUCUAAUACUGGAUACGACCUUCCCGCGCAUGCGGUGUUGGUGGAAAGCUUUUGCGGUUUUGGAUGGACUCGCGGCCUAUCAGCUUGUUGGUGGGGUAAUGGCCUACCAAGGCGACGACGGGUAGCCGGCCUGAGAGGGUGACCGGCCACACUGGGACUGAGACACGGCCCAGACUCCUACGGGAGGCAGCAGUGGGGAAUAUUGCACAAUGGGCGCAAGCCUGAUGCAGCGACGCCGCGUGAGGGAUGAAGGCCUUCGGGUUGUAAACCUCUUUCAGUAGGGAAGAAGCCGGCCUUUUGGGUUGGUGA